GUUCUCCCUGUACAGUUGUACUCUUCAUAAACACACAUCAAUCAUACGGUGUCAUGCAGUGUUGAGACGCUGAAAUCAACGGGUGAAGUAACGCACGCCUCUGAUUGGCUAAAGUCAACAGAAUACUUUUCAACAUUGAACUGAAGAUUUCAACAGGUUUGCUCUUGAUCAGAUCAAGUGGCUCUUCCGCUGAUUAUCAACGACGAGCCGAAAUGACCCCAUGAUUCGAAUGUGCAGGCUUGGCUUUUCCCACGUUAACUACGCAUGAACACGCACGAUCGCCCCUCGCGAUUUUGACGUUGAAGAGAACUCCUUUCUGAAGUGUGACGUCAGUCCGUGAAUUUGACCACGUUGUGGGAAUAUGUCAACAUUAACUAUUUGAAACAAAUUGGUUGGCGAUAUUCUGAUUUUUGAGAAAGCAAGUCACUAGAAAAGAAAAAGCCCUGACUGGCAUCGAAAAGAGGCUGAAUGGAUAUCACAGGAGAAAGCAUCCGAGCGAGCGAAACAGCGCCCCUCUGUCUCUCUACGUGCAGGCCAUCUAUCUGAUGCUGUCUGGUCCAAACAAGGUGGAGGCCAAGAAGAGGAGGAUGUGGAGGUACCGUCUGCCUGGCUUUGAGUUGAGGCUCCUGGAGGAACUACAGAGACAGAAACACAACAGUCUCUACUGUGAUACCCUGUUACAGACUGAUGGUGAGGGAGGAGGGGAGUGAUGGAGAGACUGCAGUCUACUGUGAUAACCUGUUACAGACUGAUGGUGAGGGAGGAGGGGAGUGAUGGAGAGACUGCAGUCUACUGUGAUAACCUGUUACAGACUGAUGGUGAGGGAGGAGGGGAGUGAUGGAGAGACUGCAGUCUACUGUGAUAACCUGUUACAGACUGAUGGUGAGGGAGGAGGGGAGUGAUGGAGAGACUGCAGUCUACUGUGAUAACCUGUUACAGACUGAUGGUGAGGGAGGAGGGGAGUGAUGGAGAGACUACAGUCUACUGUGAUACCCUACUACAGACUGAGGGAGGAGAGAGAGGGGGGGAAUGGAAUCAAUCAGAGCAUAUGAGCAGAGAUGAGAGGUUGGAAAUCCUGCUCAUCUCUCAUGUUGCUCAGCGCUCCAUGUCCUUUCCUACUGCUCAUCUCUCAUGUUGCUCAGUGCUCCAUGUCCUUUCCUACUGCUCAUCUCUCAUGUUGCUCAGCGCUCCAUGUCCUUUCCUACUGCUCAUCUCUCAUGUUGCUCAGCGCUCCAUUGCUCCAUGUCCUUUCCUACUGCUCAUCUCUCAUGUUGCUCAGUGCUCCAUGUCCUUUCCUACUGCUCAUCUCUCAUGUUGCUCAGCGCUCCAGUGCUCCAUGUCCUUUCCUACUGCUCAUCUCUCAUGUUGCUCAGUGCUCCAUGUCCUUUCCUACUGCUCAUCUCUCAUGUUGCUCAGCGCUCCA
Oncorhynchus tshawytscha (Chinook salmon) is the source of this 1423-nucleotide long non-coding RNA. The record is from Ensembl. NCBI's taxonomy places the organism in Eukaryota, Metazoa, Chordata, Actinopteri, Salmoniformes, Salmonidae.